Molecule: long non-coding RNA, 212 nt
Filed under: Lathyrus oleraceus (garden pea)
Lineage: Eukaryota; Viridiplantae; Streptophyta; Magnoliopsida; Fabales; Fabaceae
Description: Pisum sativum (pea) long non-coding RNA (PSAT_LNC024346)
Source: RNAcentral
AAGAAUGCGUGAACAGGACACGACUUCAAGUUAGGGAAAAACAAAACUGACACAGCGUGAACAAGACACGACUCUGAUUAAGAAAUAACAGAAAAUCAGACUGGAGACCUCACUGGAGAAUGAAGGACUCACACUGGGGAAAAGAAAAUCCCAAAGGAAAAACAUCCAUUGGGGAGACACAAGCUGACUCCUGGGCAAAAGCAAUAGGAAAC